CCUCGCAGCGCGCCGCCGGGUCCUCCGGCGCCGACGAUGUGGAGGGGCGGCGGGGAGAGGAGGGCCCUCUCCCCACGCCGCCGCGUUCGCGUCCUCGAGCGCCACCGCGGCCCCGCAGCAGGGGAGGGGCGGCUAGGGAAGCGAGGGAGGAGAGGGGAAGGGCAGCAAGGAAGCUAGGGAGGAGAUGGGAAGGGCAGCGGGGGAGCCAGGGGUGGCCGCGCUCACGACGAGGCUCUGGAGGCGCUAGCUGAAGGAGGAAGAAGGACGUCGUGACGACGAGUUAGCGGAAACGGGACGGAAUGCUAAUUUGAGGGUUUGACGCUUGCCUCCUCUACCCGAAAAGUCGGGGCCGAGGGGACCCCCGCGCUCGCCAAGAAGAAAAGGACACGGCGCCUGCCACCUGUGGGUUGGUGGAGGGAGGGAAAGGGAGUUGUGAAUCCGAAUCCUCCCGCCGCGACUUUGCCCGCACGGCGCCCACCAACAAGCGCAUCGAUCCGGAGUGAAGGCCGUGGCCCGUGGGGACGCCGGGGUCGCGCGCUGCCGACGUGCCCCUCGGUGCGGCGGAACCUCACCUGAUUGGUCAGCGCGGUGCACGCCGGUGGAUAUGCCCACUGCUGCAAUCCGGCGGCUGUGAAUUCGUGAUCGAUAUUUUUUUAAGUUAAAAUUCGUGAUCGAUAUGUUGUGUCCUUUUCUGAAAAUGGCAGGCGCAACGGCUGGUACAGGGAGCGGUUGCGGUAAAAGGAAAUCGGAAGCCAAUAGCAAUAGCGUUCGCCGUUCGGGACGACUAGAAACGGGGGCGCCAGUGGAUGUCGUGUGAUAGUAUUAGCGUAAGUUAUGUUUUGCAAAUUUAAAAGGCUAUGUAACUAUUUGGAAUUAUUUGGGAAUGAUCUGAUUUUUAACUUUUUUUGUA
This is a long non-coding RNA of Panicum virgatum (switchgrass), 910 nucleotides long. RefSeq lists it as uncharacterized. The transcript has 2 exons. The record is from RefSeq and is a predicted model, not a curated record. Lineage: Eukaryota; Viridiplantae; Streptophyta; Magnoliopsida; Poales; Poaceae.